AAAGGUAGCUCUGCUGCUUCCUGUGUGGGCAGUAAUAUGAACUAAGCAGCCCAAAGUCUCACCACAAUGCUGCCUGGCACCCGGGGAACACUGUAGGAGGGUCAGCCCAACCAUGUCAGCUCUUCAGGCUACCAAUUAAGAACCACUGCCCUACACGACUUGACCAAGGUCAAUCAGGGCAGGGAUUUAUUACCCCUUCUUCAUCCAACAUCUUGCAUGUUCAAGGCAGCCACAGAAGUGGAGAGUUAUUCCAUCCCAUAAACCUCUACAACCUGCAGGCAGUAGGAGCCAGUGAAGAGAAAAGAUGCAAAAUUAAUCUUUUGGAUGUUAUGAGCCAUUUGGGUACAUUUCUCCCUUGUGUUUAUCAUGAAUGGAAGCAUUAGAAAUCCCUCAGAACAGCCUGCUCUCACGUGAUACACAGCCCCAUUCUUUAUACUGCAAAACAGAUGAACAGUUCCAAUAAGCACCCAUUUUUGGAGGGGCUGCAAGCCCUCCCCAGACUCUGGAGCUCUUGAUACUUCCUCAUCAGGAGUCAGAAUAAAGCUUCUUUUUCCUUUUU
This is a long non-coding RNA of Gavialis gangeticus (Gharial), 559 nucleotides long. RefSeq lists it as uncharacterized. NCBI's taxonomy places the organism in Eukaryota, Metazoa, Chordata, Crocodylia, Gavialidae. The record is from RefSeq and is a predicted model, not a curated record. The transcript has 2 exons.